UCAGUCCAUAAAUUCACUUACAGCCGGUUAUCACUGACACUUCUGCAAUUUCUUGGCCAUGUAUUUAUUGAUUAAUUAAUUAAUGAUUUCAGAUAUUUCAACAUAUUAGAAACCAACACAGAGAAGAUGUUUUUGGCUUCCUCAGUCGUCAUGGUUACAUCAGGAUUAAUCAGCAGGAGUUUAUGUGAAGCUGAAGCGGAGGCGGAGACUGUGUCAGCGCGGUCGGCCUCGGUUGAUUCCCUCGGGUCUCAUUUGUCAGCUGACCUUGACGGCUCGCUGUGAUUAACAUUCGCUAAAUAGAGAAAGAAUGUGAGUGAAGCAGCUCAGGCACAAGAUGGCCGCCUACGUGGAUCAAGACCCGUGUCUACUGUACAUAUAUACUGUCUUUCUCCAGGAAAAAAAAGAAAGAAAUAUUAUGAUUUUUAAUUUUUACUGCACCUUUAAAACAGUCAUUACACUUGAAAACUGCAUUUCCCAUGAAGCAGUUGGGUCUUAAAACGAAUUUCAUUGAUUCAAUUCAGCCUGAAGCAAACGCAUGAUUUUUGUCUUAAAGUCAGUGAAGGCCUCGCGCUGCGUUCAUGUCAUAAACUGAAGCGGUGAAGGAUUUCCCAUGAUGCACCUGGGCGUCAUACUGUAUUAGCUUCUGUAGCUAGCUGUCUUUCUUUACAACCUCAAAAACAUUCAAUUCAGUCUAAAACUAAAGCAGUGAAGGAUAAUAUAUGAUAAAGACGGUAAAAGCCUCAUGAUUUAUUAGUUUCAGUCGGUAAAUAUGUUUUAAAAGAGCUAAACCCGAUUUACUCGUCAAGGAGGAGAUUUAAAAUGUAAGUUACGUAACCUCAGCGAUUCACGUAAGCCGUCAUCAAGUGCAGCUGCGUCAGUUCAGUCCAAUGAAGCAGAGCGGAAACCGCUAUUUGUCUUAGAACGUUUAAAUAACGUUUUUAAGGUGGGAAAAUGUCGUUAAACGUGUGUAUCGCGAGUGAGUGAAUGAGUUUUAACAUUUAGGUGAACGUUUACGUUGACGUUUUAGGCGUAAGUGGCGCAAACGCUGAGUCGUGGCGAGUUUUACGGUUGAAAACGGACGAAAAACCCGGGUUUAACUCGUUUAUUUUUAACGCCCGGUUCAUUCAAACUCAUCUGUGAGGUUCAACGCACUUUACACGCACACAUACAGCUGUUGGCGAUCGUGUGACGUCACGGGCCGGAGCCGCUGCAGACACUGUCUAACCUUCUGGAAGGUUCUGUAGAGUCUCUUUGAUGAGUGAAGGACAGCUGAGACAGAAGGUGCAGAGGAGAGAGAACAUGUCCAGAGGUCAAAGCCAGCAGCAGAGGAACUCAAGGAAAACACUGUCAGAGCAAGUGGGUGUGUUUGAUUUGUAUGUGUAAGGAGUGACGGGGGUGGGGCCUCAUGAUGACCAUGUAUGCAAGGCCGUUGAGGUGAUUGGUUACAAGAUGGUGGGCGGGGUCAAGGUUGCAGCUGAUGAGAAGAUUCAUGUUCGACCUCAUUUUCCUGAAACAACAAAUAUUGUCUUAUUACACCUGAAAUAUAGCAAAUGUUACGUGACAAAAAUAUGCAUUUUUGUAAUAAAGUUGUAAAGGCUAUAGGAGUUUUAUUACUUAACUGUUACAGCUGAGCCAUUAUGGUCUGUUCUGUAGAUUGGUGAUCCAGAUGUGGACAGGAGACACGAUGAAGUCAUGGAUGUAGAGUCAAGCUGUCCCACGCUAUAACGGCAUAGUGGAGAAGCAUCAUUAGUGAAAGCUGGCAGAGAUGUGUGUUGAUUGUUUCCGUUUAUACAUUGUCACUUUACACUGUGAUUAUAGUAGGUUGUUCACUGUUCUCCCUGUGAGUUUUUUUAUGUUAUGAUCUGGCGUGGCUUACAUAACAAUAACCUGCAAUGACUUUUAGCAGUUUUUCUACAUACAAUGAUGGUUACUAGCAUUUUAAGACAAACAAGCCUUGAUUUAAGUCAAAUGUAGCACAUAAUAUACAAUUAUACUGUGAUCUGGAGCAGGUCAUUGUUAUCAUUCAAUCCUCUAUGAUCUCUGUUUAUGAUGAUCACACAUCCCUGAACUGAAGGACACUUUAUCCAUCUGUCUGUAUGUGUCCAUACAGUGAAGGAGGCAAAACCCUGUCCUCAUAAAGUGUCCACACAUCAUCAGUGAUGAAAACAUGAGCUCUGAACGUGGACGUAUAAAUCACAUCAAAUAUUAAUGAAGAUCAUUUUGAAAAAUGCACUUUAGCCCGAGCCCACGUUUAUACAAACAAAUUAAUUCACUAGUUUUCUCUUCAGAAUUCACAAACACAAUGACGUGAGUCCAGGAGACGGGUUACAACAGUGGCCCGUUAGCAUCAGAAUUUGGCCCAGCAGAUGAAAAAUUUGACUUUUGUAAACAAAAGCAACGAUUAUUUCAUACAUAAUCCAAUACAGUAAAUUGUGUGUAAGAUUGACGAUUGUUGUGUGUCUUUUGCUGGACUAUGUUUGUACACCAAUAGAGGGUGCAAGACCAGAAAAGCACAGGAAGUUCUUCAGUUUAAUUUAUACAACUGUGAGAAACAGUGUCAUAGUUUCUUUGAAAGAUUUGCUGACAUUUAAAUAAUAAACCUGACUAUUUUCUCUCUGUUCAGACUUGAAGCCAGUUGAGUUUAAUAAAUGAUUCGAUCUUGUACAAAAGAGUACAUUUUGUAAAUGUAUUUGUGUGAAAACAAUGAUGUUGCGAUAACGUGUUAAUAACUCUUUAAGACACAAAUGUGUCAAAUAAGGAAAUAAAAUGUUAACACUGCUGUA
This is a long non-coding RNA of Solea solea (common sole), 2783 nucleotides long. RefSeq lists it as uncharacterized. The record is from RefSeq and is a predicted model, not a curated record. NCBI's taxonomy places the organism in Eukaryota, Metazoa, Chordata, Actinopteri, Pleuronectiformes, Soleidae. The transcript is spliced from 4 exons.